Molecule: non-coding RNA, 232 nt
Organism: Camelina sativa (false flax)
Lineage: Eukaryota; Viridiplantae; Streptophyta; Magnoliopsida; Brassicales; Brassicaceae
Source: RefSeq, a predicted model, not a curated record
AAUCCCAUCCUUCACAAACCCCAAAACCAACCCCAACCAAGAAAAAAAAAAAUAGAGAGUGUAAGAGCAAAUCGAAAUCUCAGAACUAUUGUGAGACCUCAUCUCUCUUCAUCAUCUUCUUCUACUCUCAUCCCUUCGAUUUUUUGCUUCAAUGGAUAUUUGAUUUGCUCUGGGACUGCGUUUGGGUUUGGAGAUAUGUGCUCUCGUUGAUCCUGUGGUGUAGGCAGAAAAA